GCCCAUUAUUGUGUACAGAAAACUGAUUUGAACUGCUAUCAAAAGUACCACCUCGCUUUGUUAUGUCCCAUCAUACCAAUUUAUGUACGUCAUUGAAUUAAAAUUCGUAAGCAGCCUCGAGCAUACAUGGAUCAACAGGAGAUUCAUCUUUGAGAUGAAAAGCUGAUGCAAACGACCUGGCUAAGGGUAUGGAGGUGGCAUGUGGCGGCUGAAGAAAUCGGAUUGGGCACACAACCUGGACAAAAACAGCCUUACUCGGCUACAUCUUCAGUGAAGAAAGAAAAGCAGAGGUGCAAAUGGGAUAAAGAACGAACGCUAAAGAGGAACUUUGAAGUGGUAAUCUUGCUCUUGCAACGGAAAAGGAACAGAAUACAUGAAGCCGACUGGUACGGGCUGAAAAAUCAGCCACCUCCUCGGCCCACUUGACGCGAUGCAUGAUCCCUCGUCAUCCUCGCAACACCAUCAUCCGCCGUCUCCACGCCCGCCGGUCGCCGUCAAUAGCAUCAGAUGCUUCCGGCGAGUGGCCCUACAGCACUGGCGCUCCCACCGGUGAGCGGCCUUGCAUCGGAUGCUUCCGGCGAGUAAUCCCGCGUGGCUGGCGCUCCCGCUGGCGACCAGUCUUGCUUGCAGCCGCCCCAUUGUUGCUACCCCCCAUACGAGAGAGUCGCGCGAGAACGCUCGCCGCUGCUGCAACUUCUCGCCGCCGUCAGCUAAUUGCCGUCAAACACACCAUGGAUGGAUUUGUGCUUGCAGAGAGAGCAUGGUUGUUGCUGGAUAUGGCGCGAGCUUGCAGAAGCCUUGGCGGUGGCUCUUGCUUGCGCAGCAGUGUGGGGUUCCCCGCUGGAUAGAGAUAAGGGGAGAGAAGGGAGGAAGGAAAUUGGG
RNAcentral lists this ribosomal RNA (882 nucleotides) under Triticum aestivum (bread wheat). RNAcentral describes it as "partial small subunit ribosomal RNA". Lineage: Eukaryota; Viridiplantae; Streptophyta; Magnoliopsida; Poales; Poaceae. The record is from RNAcentral.